CAUCUGUAAGGCUACAGCUUCUGUGAUACACAAAUCCUUCCCUGUGGCUAAGGCUGCUAGGCAGCCUCACAGUAUCGAUUCUCAGUUCUUCCAAGAGAUGGGGUUUCACCAUGUUAGCCAGUAUGGUCUCCAUCUCCUCACCUCCUGAUCCGCCCACCUCAGCCUCCCAAAGUGCUGGGAUUACAGGCAUGAGCCACCGCACCAGGCCUUUUUCAACUCUUGAUAAGUUUGAUUCUUGAAGCUGCAGCCCUCACACCAUUUACCUCAGUAGAAGUCAUGGCUUCAAGACCUACACAUUUACCAAAGGCAAAUUCUUAAAAGGGCUGGGCACAGUGGCUUACUUACGCCUGUAAUCCCAGCACAUUGGGAGGCUGAGGUAGGUGGAUCACUGGACGUCAGGAGUUCGAGGUCAGCCUGCCUACAUGGUGAAAUCUGGUCUCUACUAAAAAUAUAAAAAUUAGCCAAGCAUGGUGUCACGUGCCUGUAGUCCCAGCUACUCAGGAAGCUGAGGCAGAAGAAUCACUUGAACCCAAGAGGCAGAGGUUGCGGUGAGCCAAGCUCGUGCCAUUGCACUCCAGCCUGGGCAACAGAGUGAGACUCCAUCUCAAGAAAAAAAAAAAAACAAUCUAAGUAGGUGCCAAAUUUUCCAUCCCACCAGAAAAUAAGACUACAGUUGAAUUAAGUCAUGUCCUACUCUCCUAGACUCAAAGCUGUUUUAUAAAGACAAUGUAUUCUUAUUUUCUACAGUAUUUUUGUUUCCAGGUCAUCUAGCAACAGUGUUAAAAACCCUUUGUAAUGCUAAAGACAGAGGGCAGGAUUAAUUCUCUUAGUCUCAUUUGUUUCCAGAAUUUUCUGCAUAUGUUUCCUAAAUUUUAGAAGACACUAUUCAAUCAUGUAAACCCACAUUAUAAGCAACUUUAAGUCUUCUUCCAAGGACUACCUUUUACACGGUCGAUCCCUAAUUUUCCGGAUUUGGACAAGUUUCCAUUCAAAAGUGAUGUCCAUCCAGUUAGAAAGCUUCUAGAACAUUUUCCUUCCUACUCUCACAACUAUUCCAUCAAUUA
Pan troglodytes (chimpanzee) is the source of this 1064-nucleotide long non-coding RNA. RefSeq lists it as uncharacterized. The transcript is spliced from 4 exons. Lineage: Eukaryota; Metazoa; Chordata; Mammalia; Primates; Hominidae. The record is from RefSeq and is a predicted model, not a curated record.